UACAGAGGGUGCAAGCGUUAAUCGGAAUUACUGGGCGUAAAGCGUGCGUAGACGGUUACAUAAGUCAGGUGUGAAAGCCCCGGGCUCAACCUGGGAAUUGCAUUUGAGACUGUGUAGCUAGGGUGCGGAAGAGGGAAGCGGAAUUUCAGGUGUAGCGGUGAAAUGCGUAGAUAUCUGAAGGAACACCAGUGGCGAAAGCGGCUUCCUGGUCCAGCACCGACGCUGAGGCACGAAAGCGUGGGGAGCAAACAGG
Molecule: ribosomal RNA, 253 nt
Filed under: uncultured bacterium
Lineage: Bacteria
Description: partial 16S ribosomal RNA
Rfam family: Bacterial small subunit ribosomal RNA
Source: RNAcentral